UACGAAGGGGGCUAGCGUUGCUCGGAAUUACUGGGCGUAAAGGGCGCGUAGGCGGCACUGUUAGUCAGGCGUGAAAGUCCUGGGCUCAACCUGGGAACUGCGCUUGAUACGGCAGAGCUAGAGGAUGGAAGAGGGUCGCGGAAUUCCCAGUGUAGAGGUGAAAUUCGUAGAUAUUGGGAGGAACACCGGUGGCGAAGGCGGCCCCCUGGACCGGUACUGACGCUGAGGCGCGAAAGCGUGGGUAGCAAACGGG
Molecule: ribosomal RNA, 253 nt
Filed under: uncultured bacterium
Lineage: Bacteria
Description: partial 16S ribosomal RNA
Rfam family: Bacterial small subunit ribosomal RNA
Source: RNAcentral